AGCUUAGUGGUAGAGCGCUUGCCUAGUAUGCAUGAAGUCCUGGGUUCGAUUCCCCAG
This 57-nucleotide transfer RNA is filed under the name Dipodomys ordii (Ord's kangaroo rat). It matches the Rfam family "tRNA", at positions 9 to 63 of the family's 71-position model. From Rfam's summary of the family: Transfer RNA (tRNA) molecules are approximately 80 nucleotides in length. The record is from Rfam by way of RNAcentral. Lineage: Eukaryota; Metazoa; Chordata; Mammalia; Rodentia; Heteromyidae.